AUGAACGCUGGCGGCGUGCCUAAUACCUGCAAGUCGAGCGAACAGACGAGGAGCUUGCUCCUCUGACGUUAGCGGCGGACGGGUGAGUAACACGUGGAUAACCUACCUAUAAGACUGGGAUAACUUCGGGAAACCGGAGCUAAUACCGGAUAAUAUAUUUAACCGCAUGGUUCAAUAGUGAAAGACGGUUUUGCUGUCACUUAUAGAUGGAUCCGCGCCGCAUUAGCUAGUUGGUAAGGUAACGGCUUACCAAGGCAACGAUGCGUAGCCGACCUGAGAGGGGGGUCGGCCACACUGGAACUGAGACACGGUCCAGACUCCUACGGGAGGCAGCAGUAGGGAAUCUUCCGCAAUGGGCGAAAGCCUGACGGAGCAACGCCGCGUGAGUGAUGAAGGUCUUCGGAUCGUAAAACUCUGUUAUUAGGGAAGAACAAAUGUGUAAGUAACUAUGCACGUCUUGACGGUACCUAAUCAGAAAGCCACGGCUAACUACGUG
RNAcentral lists this ribosomal RNA (496 nucleotides) under uncultured bacterium. RNAcentral's name for it is "partial 16S ribosomal RNA". It matches the Rfam family "Bacterial small subunit ribosomal RNA", at positions 29 to 507 of the family's 1533-position model. The record is from RNAcentral.